UGGGGAAUAUUGGACAAUGGGCGCAAGCCUGAUCCAGCCAUGCCGCGUGAGUGAUGAAGGCCCUAGGGUUGUAAAGCUCUUUCACCGGUGAAGAUAAUGACGGUAACCGGAGAAGAAGCCCCGGCUAACUUCGUGCCAGCAGCCGCGGUAAUACGAAGGGGGCUAGCGUUGUUCGGAUUUACUGGGCGUAAAGCGCACGUAGGCGGACUAUUAAGUCAGGGGUGAAAUCCCGGGGCUCAACCCCGGAACUGCCUUUGAUACUGGUAGUCUUUAGUUCGAGAGAGGUGAGUGGAAUUCCGAGUGUAUAGGUGAAAUUCGUAGAUAUUCGGAGGAACACCAGUGGCGAAGGCGGCUCACUGGCUCGAUACUGACGCUGAGGUGCGAAAGCGUGGGGAGCAAACAGG
RNAcentral lists this ribosomal RNA (404 nucleotides) under Actinomycetes bacterium. RNAcentral's name for it is "Actinobacteria bacterium partial 16S ribosomal RNA". It matches the Rfam family "Bacterial small subunit ribosomal RNA", at positions 355 to 776 of the family's 1533-position model. Lineage: Bacteria; Bacillati; Actinomycetota; Actinomycetes. The record is from RNAcentral.